GAAUUUUCAUAGCUAUUUCAGAGUUUUUUCUAACAGGAUUUCUGACCUUGGUUAGAAAUCCCAA
Apodemus sylvaticus (European woodmouse) is the source of this 64-nucleotide small nuclear RNA. RefSeq annotates it as U7 small nuclear RNA. The transcript has a single exon. Lineage: Eukaryota; Metazoa; Chordata; Mammalia; Rodentia; Muridae. The record is from RefSeq and is a predicted model, not a curated record.